AAAUAUCUAAAACAUUUAUUCCAACACUCAACAGAUAGUUUUGCUAAAUAUGAUAACUAGAUAGCCAAUAAAAUUACAAAAAAUAUUUAAAUAGUAAAAAAUAUGUUAAUUUAACGUGUUAAAAUUUAAACAUAAAUUUUAAUUAUGACAUACAUCUUAACAUUUAUAUAAAUAUAUAUCAUAACCUAAAUAUAAAUAAUUUAACAACUUAAAUUAGAAAAAUAUAAAAAUCCCGGGCGUAGCCCGGGUUAAUCCCUAGUCUCUACUAAUAAAAGAGAGCUUUUGAGGCUCCAUAUGACGUCCACAUCAGCGGAAAAAAUUUCUCCUAAAAAGAUGACACGUGGCAUAAAAUAUUUACAUUUUAAUAUUAAUUAUUUUCGAAAAUUGUAAAAAAUAUGUAAACAUACAGCAUUAAAAAUGAAAAACUACAUUAAACAUAUGUAAGAUUACUAUUUUUCACUUAAAAAAAAAGAUGGCUUAUCUCCAUAAUGUAACACUACCGUUUUAUAAAAAAAAAACAAAAAACAUUAUAUAUAAUUUCGAAAAUAAUAAUUAUAUGUAAAACAUACAACAUAAAAAUGGAAAUACUACAAUAAACAUAAAUAUGUUUGACUAUUUGUCCAAGUUCUUCUAUUAAACAUUGCCGUUUUACAUUAAAAAUAGAAAAAUACGUAAAAAUUUAAACAUCUAUCUUAAAAUAUAAAAUAUAGACAUUAACUAAAUAUAAAGUAUAAAAAAGAGAAAUACUCAAUAUAUAAAAAAAAUAAUAAGUAAAUAUUAUAAAUAUAUAAAUAUACGAAUUAUAUAUACAAUAAUAAGUAAAUGCACAAUUUUUAAAAAAUGAAAAGAGUAUAUUAAAUAUUAAACAUCUAUCUUAAAAUGUAAAAUAUAGAUAUUAAGUAAAUAGAAAAUAUAAGAAAAAGAAAUAAACAACUUAAAAACAAUGAAAAAAGUAUAUUAAGAUUUAAACAUCUAUCUUAAAAUGUAAAAUAUAGAUAUUACGCAAAUAGAAAGUAUAAGAAAAGGAAAUACACAAUUUAAAAAAAAAUGGAAAAAGUACAUUAGUAUUUAAACAUCUAUCUUAAAAUGUAAAUCAAUCUUAAAAUAUAAAAUAAUUUAAAAAAAAUGGAAAAGUACAUUAGUAUUUAAACAUCUAUCUUAAAAUGUAAAUCAAUCUUAAAAUAUAAAAUUAUUAGUAAAUAGAAAGUAUAAGAAAUAAAAAUACACAAUAUAAAGAAAAAUAAAUAAUAAGUAAAUAUAUAAUAUAAUCUCGAAAGAUGACACGUGACUAGGGGUGUCAAAAUGGGUCAUGACUCAUGGGUUGACCCAACCCAAUUUGACCCAUUAACCCAAAUGAACUGUUUAUUUUUGAUCCAAUGGGUUAAUGGGUUAAAAGGUUAAUGGAUUAACAGGUUAAUGGAUUAACAGGUUAAUGGGUUAACAAGUUAAUGGGUUUAUUGGGUUGGGUCAACUCUGACCCAUUUUGUUUUCAAUUAAAAAAAACCAUGAGUAAACUCAAUUCUAAGGUUUGAUAAAAUUGGAAAUCAUGAAUUUCUCUAAAGUCCAAUCAUUUAUUCCCGCAAAAACCAAUUUUCCCGCCAAAAACCAAUUUUCCCGCCAAAAACGCAUUUUCCCGCCAAAAACGCAUUUUCCCGCCAAAACCGCAAAAACCCAUUUUCCCGCCAAAACCGCAAAAACCCAUUUUCCCGCCAAAACCUCAAAACCUCAUUUUCUCGCCAAAACUGCAAAAACGCAUUUUCCCGCCAAAAACGCAUUUUCCCGCCAAAAUCGCAAAAAUGCAUUUUCCCGCCAAAACCGCAAAAACGCGUUUUCCCGCCAAAACCGCAAAAACGCAUUUUUCCGCCAAAACUGGGAAAAUUCACUUUCCCGCAAAAAUGUUAUUUUCCGCCUAAACCACAAAAAACAUUUUAUCAUUUUGAUCAACUUGGUCUUAACUUAAAAAUAAUUUAUUAUAAAGAUAUUGGGUCCAUGGGUCAACCAUUAACCCAUCUAACUUUUUUAAUUUAAUGGGUCAUGGGUCAACCCAACCUAUUUAAUAAAUGGGUUGGGUUGACCCAUGACUCAUUAACAGUAAACCCAUUUGGGUUUUGGGUUGGGUUGACCCAUUUGACCCAUUUUGACACCCCUACACGUGACAUUAAACAUAUGUAAGAUUACUAUUUUUCACUUAAAAAAAAGACGGCUUAUCUCCAUAAUGUAACAUUACCGUUUUAUAAAAAAAACAAAAAACGUUAUAUAUAAUUUCGAAAAUAAUAAAUAUAUGUAAAACAUACAACAUAAAAAUGGAAAUACUACAAUAAACAUAAAUAUGUUUGACUAUUUGUCCAAGUUCUUCUAUUAAACAUUGUCGUUUUACAUUAAAAAUAGAAAAAUACGUAAAGAUUUAAACAUUUAUCUUAAAAUAUAAAAUAUAGACAUUAACUAAAUAUAAAGUAUAAAAAAGAGAAAUACUCAAUAUAUAAAAAAUAAUAAUAAGUAAAUAUUAUAAAUAUACGAAUUAUAUAUACAAUAAUAAGUAAAUGCACAAUUUUUUAAAAAUGGAAAGAGUAUAUUAAAUAUUAAACAUCUAUCUUAAAAUGUAAAAUAUAGAUAUUAAGUAAAUAGAAAAUAUAAGAAAAAGAAAUACACAACUUAAAAACAAUGAAAAAAGUAUAUUAAGAUUUAAACAUCUAUCUUAAAAUGUAAAAUAUAGAUAUUACGCAAAUAGAAAGUAUAAGAAAAGGAAAUACACAAUUUAAAAAAAUAGAAAAAGUACAUUAGUAUUUAAACAUCUAUCUUAAAAUGUAAAUCAAUCUUAAAAUAUAAAAUUAUUAGUAAAUAGAAAGUAUAAGAAAUAAAAAUACACAAUAUAAAGAAAAAUAAAUAAUAAGUAAAUAUAUAAUAUAAUCUCGAUAGAUGACACGUGGCAUAAAAUAUAGUUUUACAUUUUAAUAUUACUUAUUUUUGAAAAUUAUAAAAAAUAUGUAAACAUACAGCAUAAAAAAUGGAAAAACUACAUUAAACAUAUGUAAGAUUACUAUUUUUCACUUAAAAAAAGACGGCUUAUCUUCAUCAUGUAACAUUACCGUUUUAUACAAACAACAAAAAACAUUAUAUAUAAUUUUAAAAAUAAUAAAUAUAUGUAAAACAUACAACAUAAAAAUUGAAAUACUACAUUAAACAUAUGUAAGAUUACCAUUUUACAUUUUUAUUUUAAGAAAAUAAUAUGUAAACAUACAACAUAAAAAUAAAAAACUACAUUAAACAUAUGUAAGAUUACCAUUUUUCACUAAAAAAAAAGACGGCUUAUCUCCAUAAUGUAACAUUACUAUUUUGUAAAAAAGAAAAUUAUAUAUAAUUUCGAAAAUAAUAAAUAAUAUGUAAA
This 3385-nucleotide long non-coding RNA is filed under the name Brassica rapa (field mustard). RNAcentral describes it as "long non-coding RNA (BRAP_LNC000856)". The stretch from base 1994 to 2114 matches the Rfam family "MIR405 microRNA precursor family". Lineage: Eukaryota; Viridiplantae; Streptophyta; Magnoliopsida; Brassicales; Brassicaceae. The record is from RNAcentral.